RNAcentral lists this ribosomal RNA (292 nucleotides) under uncultured bacterium. RNAcentral's name for it is "partial 16S ribosomal RNA". It matches the Rfam family "Bacterial small subunit ribosomal RNA", at positions 505 to 796 of the family's 1533-position model. The record is from RNAcentral.
GUGUCAGCCGCCGCGGUAAUACGAAGGUCCCGAGCGUUGUUCGGAAUCACUGGGCGUAAAGGGAGCGUAGGCGGCGUGGUAAGUCAGAUGUGAAAUCCCGGGGCUCAACCCCGGAACUGCAUCCGAUACUGCCGUGCUAGAGGAUUGGAGAGGUAGCUGGAAUUCACGGUGUAGCAGUGAAAUGCGUGGAUAUCGUGAGGAACACUCGUGGCGAAAGCGAGCUACUGGACAACUCCUGACGCUGAGGCUCGAAGGCCAGGGUAGCGAAAGGGAUUAGAAACCCUUGUAGUCC